Molecule: unclassified non-coding RNA, 369 nt
Filed under: Hevea brasiliensis (rubber tree)
Lineage: Eukaryota; Viridiplantae; Streptophyta; Magnoliopsida; Malpighiales; Euphorbiaceae
Source: RNAcentral
AAAAAAAACAAAAACUUCAAAAUGCAUGCUUUGAUUGAAUUUCAUAGUAUUUAAAGUUAGUUCCUGUUGUGCAUUUAUGCUGCUUGCUGCUGCUUUGUUUUUUCCUGCAUGAGAAUAUUUGUUUUUGGUAACAAUAAGUUGGUUUAUAUAUGUGCUAUUCUUUUUAUUCUAGUCAUCACCUUCCCUGAUAAUAUGCAUGUGAGAAAAGCUUAGGCGAGCUUUUUAGUGAUCAGAAAUAUCUAAAGCAAAACAUCAUUAUCUGUUUCAGUAAUGCUGCAGUGAAAAUGCUUGUACAAUCUUAAUAAAUUGAUUAAAAGGACAACCUUUUGUAGCCAGGCAAAAUAACUCUCUUUUGCCAACUCUUUCGGC